ACCGGGCGUUGUGGCGUGCGCCUGUAAUCCAGCUACUUGGAAGUCGGGGUUGGUGGAUCGCUUGAGAGCGGGAGUCCUGGAUGUCGUCGUUCUAUGGCGAUCGGGCGUCCACGCUAAGCUCGGCAUCGAUAUGGUUGAUUUGGUCGGAAGACUGGCCAACCAGGUCGUCUAAGGGGGGACGUACUGGCCCAGGGCGGAAACGCAGCAGGCAAAAGUCCCCGUGUGGAGCAGUAGUGGGAUAGCGCCUGUGAAUAGGCGGCGACUUGCAGCCUGUUCAACAUAGUAAGACCCAAUCCUUU
RNAcentral lists this signal recognition particle RNA (299 nucleotides) under Strongylocentrotus purpuratus (purple sea urchin). RNAcentral's name for it is "Metazoan signal recognition particle RNA". It matches the Rfam family "Metazoan signal recognition particle RNA". Rfam says of the family: The signal recognition particle (SRP) is a universally conserved ribonucleoprotein. It is involved in the co-translational targeting of proteins to membranes. Lineage: Eukaryota; Metazoa; Echinodermata; Echinoidea; Camarodonta; Strongylocentrotidae. The record is from Rfam by way of RNAcentral.